AAUUCUGGAGCUAAUACAUGCAUAAAAGAUGUUUUUGUAAAAAAACAUUGCAUAUAUUAGUAUUAAAACCAAGCAUUCUUCGGGAUGUUUUGUGUUGAAMCUGAAUAUAUCAUGCUGAUCGUAUGGUCUUGUACCGACGACAUGUCAUUCAAGUGUCUGAUCUAUCAACUUUCUAUAUAAGUAUAUAGUACUUAUAUGGUUUUGACGGAUAACGGGGUAUUAGGGUACGACUCCGGAGAAAAUGCCUGAGAAACGGCGUUUACAUCCAAGGAAGGCAGCAGGCGCGAAAAUUACCCACUCUCAGUACGAGGAGGUAGUGACGAGAAAUGACAAGAUCUAUUCCUUCGGGGAUGGAUCAUUGGAAUGGUUUGAUUUUAAAAUCAUUAAAGAGUAUCAAUGAGAGGGCAAGUCUGGUGCCAGCAGCCGCGGUAAUUCCAGCUCUCAUACUGCAUUGAAUUGUUGUUGCGGUUAAAAAGCUCGUAGUUGGAUCUGUACAUGAUAGGUUAGUUCAUCCUUUGGAUUGUAACUAAUACUAAAUGUUUUUUAUAAGAUUUUUGUAUUCUUUCGGGGAUACAAUGUCUUAUGAGUUUACUUUGAAUAAAUCAGAGUGCUCAAAACAGGCGUAAGCUUGUAUGGUUUUGCAUGGAAUAAUAGAACAUGACUAUGGUUCAUGUUUUAUUGGUUUUACUUACCAUAGUAAUGAUUAAAAGGAACAAACGGGGGCAUCCGUAUCGCAGGGCGAGAGGUGAAAUUCGUGGACCCUUGCGAGACGAACUACAGCGAAGGCAUUUGCCAAGAAUG
Molecule: ribosomal RNA, 801 nt
Filed under: Panagrolaimus davidi
Lineage: Eukaryota; Metazoa; Nematoda; Chromadorea; Rhabditida; Panagrolaimidae
Description: SSU rRNA
Rfam family: Eukaryotic small subunit ribosomal RNA
Source: RNAcentral